UACGGAGGGAGCUAGCGUUGUUCGGAAUUACUGGGCGCAAAGCGCACGUAGGCGGCUUUGUAAGUUAGAGGUGAAAGCCCGGAGCUCAACUCCGGAACUGCCUUUAAGACUGCAUCGCUUGAAUCCAGGAGAGGUGAGUGGAAUUCCGAGUGUAGAGGUGAAAUUCGUAGAUAUUCGGAAGAACACCAGUGGCGAAGGCGGCUCACUGGACUGGUAUUGACGCUGAGGUGCGAAAGCGUGGGGAGCAAACAGG
RNAcentral lists this ribosomal RNA (253 nucleotides) under uncultured bacterium. RNAcentral's name for it is "partial 16S ribosomal RNA". It matches the Rfam family "Bacterial small subunit ribosomal RNA", at positions 524 to 776 of the family's 1533-position model. The record is from RNAcentral.